Molecule: long non-coding RNA, 247 nt
Filed under: Mytilus galloprovincialis (Mediterranean mussel)
Lineage: Eukaryota; Metazoa; Mollusca; Bivalvia; Mytilida; Mytilidae
Source: RNAcentral
AAAAAAAAAAAAAAAAAAAAAAAAAAAAAAAAAAAAAAAACAAAAAAAAAAAACAAAAAAAAAAAAAAAAAAAAAAAAAACAAAAAAACAAAAACAAAAAAAAAAACAACAAAAACCAAAACAAAAAAACAAAAAAAGUGAAAAAAAAAAAAAAGUGAUGAAAAAAAGAAAAAAAAAAAAAAAAAAAAAAAAAAAAAAAAAAAAAAAAAAAAAAAAAAAAAACAAAAAAAAAAAAAACAACAAAAAA